RNAcentral lists this non-coding RNA (69 nucleotides) under uncultured Lacrimispora sp. RNAcentral describes it as "Glycine riboswitch". It matches the Rfam family "Glycine riboswitch aptamer", at positions 9 to 86 of the family's 94-position model. From Rfam's summary of the family: This family represents the bacterial glycine riboswitch. Glycine riboswitches usually consist of two metabolite-binding aptamers domains with similar structures in tandem. Lineage: Bacteria; Bacillati; Bacillota; Clostridia; Lachnospirales; Lachnospiraceae. The record is from RNAcentral.
GAAUUCGAGAGAGAGCAGAAAACAUGCCGCCGAAGGGGAAUGCGAAAACUCUCAGGCAAAAGGAUCGGA